GAUGAAGAACGCAGCGAAAUGCGACAAGUAAUGUGAAUUGCAGAAUUCCGUGAAUCAUCGAAUCUUUGAACGCACAUUGCGCCCGUCAGUAUUCUGGCGGGCAUGCCUGUUCGAGCGUCAUUACGCCCCUCAAGUCCCCUGUGGACUUGGUGUUGGGGAUCGGCGAGGCUGGUUUUCCAGCACAGCCGUCCCUUAAAUUAAUUGGCGGUCUCGCCGUGGCCCUCCUCUGCGCAGUAGUAAAACACUCGCAACAGGAGCCCGGCGCGGUCCACUGCCGUAAAACCCCCCAACUUUUUAUAGUUGACCUCGAAUCAGGUAGGACUACCCGCUGAACUUAAGCAUAUCAAUAAGCGGAGGA
This 358-nucleotide unclassified non-coding RNA is filed under the name soil metagenome. RNAcentral's name for it is "partial contains 5.8S ribosomal RNA, internal transcribed spacer 2, and large subunit ribosomal RNA". The stretch from base 1 to 120 matches the Rfam family "5.8S ribosomal RNA", at positions 35 to 154 of the family's 154-position model. The record is from RNAcentral.